Long non-coding RNA from Cydia splendana, 1581 nucleotides. RefSeq lists it as uncharacterized. NCBI's taxonomy places the organism in Eukaryota, Metazoa, Arthropoda, Insecta, Lepidoptera, Tortricidae. The record is from RefSeq and is a predicted model, not a curated record. The transcript is spliced from 2 exons.
UUAAAUUAAAUCUAAAAAAGGCCCCCGCGGUAAGGUCCCCAAAACUUUACUCUUCAUAAUAUUCUAUACUUUCAUUUACAUCUUAUUUAAUAUAGUGAAAAAUUGUACUUACUCGUUGGAUGUCGUGACAGGAGCUUUCAAGUGAACUGCCGUCAAAUGUCUUCCGAUAGAUCCUGUAGUACCACCACGACAGGAAAACUCAUUAUUUGUGCGAUCAUUGCACAAGGUACAAAAAGCUGUAUCUCCGACUCUGGUGGCAUAUCUCCACACCCAACUUCUCUUCAUUGUUAAUAGUUUAAACACACUAUUAGAGUAACACUAACAAUAACAAAACAAAAAAUAACGAAACAUCAACAAAAACAACUUUAAAUUCACGGCUAAAUUAUAACUUGAAGACCAACUGUGAUGUCAGGAGUAACUAAUGACAAUGAAUGUGAGUUCAAAAUUCUAAACUGCCCCCUCCAGAUUAAAUAAAAAAAUACCACGAAUUUGUAAAACAAAAUAUCGCUGUCACUUCUUUCAACUUCACAAACAAAAGGUAAAGCCCACAGCUACUUAUGUGUAUUGUUUGUUUCAUUUUAAUAAGUCGCUCGCAAAUCUUAUUAUCUUUGUCUGCACGUGCAACUGCACUUCUUAUCUACAAAAAAAACCCGGUAGGUUGGCUUAGCUUGUUAGUCAUACAAUAAAACACUCUAACAAUAAUAUGUCAUUAUUACCUUCAGUCUAGAAAUAAACACAGUCUUUAAUGUGCCGAAAGUUCGAAACUGAUAAGAACUGCAGCUGCGUACUUUUUUUUCCGUGGCCCCGUACAUGUGUUUUUGUUGAAUUUGUUUACCUGUAUUACCUUUAUCAUACCUACCGAAGAUUUGCAGAAAUUUACCCUUUUGGGCUUUUGAAUUAGGAUUGCCUUGUUUAUAUUUAGGCUACGUUAUAUUCUUUGAUAGUAGCAAGCUUUUACAAGUAUGUUUCAUUCAUUUAAUUAUUACUUAACAGAAAAAAUUUUUUCUCUUGAUUUAAUAAUAACAACCAGUAGCAUAGCGUUGCUUAAGUUCAUAAUUAUAAUGAUACUUACUAGGGAGUUUUACACCUUAUACAUAUUUAAUAUAAAUAUAGUGCAAUGCAACGGGCAGGUCGCUAGUUUUGACUAAAAUCAAUAGCUGAUUAUACAGAAAACAGAAUAACCCCAUAAAUUAUUUAGAUAUAACCAUUAUAUUCAAAUCGAUGUAAAAAAUACAAUUUAAGUUUAAUUCACACGUAAAUGUUUGUCCGACGAACGUCCCGUAUUCAAUAUACUAAGUGGUAACUCAAUUCAAUAAUACAUACUUAGUCCUUAUUUAUUUUUCUCCCGGGCGUGUCGAACCUACGAGACGUGCGAUAAGUAUUCAACGGAACCGAGCCCGAAGCUCACGCAGGUACGGGCUACGUAUCAUGGCGUGUCACGGCGUGUCACGUGAAUCCGGACGCGAACGCAGGUACGAGGUACGUACCUUGCCGUGUUCGUGAAAUUCGUGAUCUUAGUACCGCCGGGCUUAAGAACCCGUAGCUACGGAUCGGCGUGUAUCACGGAUAUCAGGAGCCCUA